CUUUUCGAGGUAGGAGUCGACUCCUGUGAGGUAUGGUGCUGGGUGCAGAUGCAGUGUGGCUCUGGAUAGCACCUUAUGGACAGUUGUGUCCCCAAGGAAGGAUGAGAAUAGCUACUGAAGUCCUAAAGAGCAAGCCUAACUCAAGCCAUUGGCACACAGGCAUUAGACAGAAAGCUGGAAGUUGAAAUGGUGGAGUCCAACUUGCCUGGACCAGCUUAAUGGUUCUGGUAUGGAGAGUCGGCUUGACUACACUGUGUGGAGCAAGUUUUAAAGAAGCAAAGGACUCAGAAUUCAUGAUUGAAGAAAUGCAGGGUUUUUAAUGACCACAACAAGCAAGCAUGCAGCUUACUGCUUGAAAGGGUCUUGCCUCACCCAAGCUAGAGUGCAGUGGCCUUUGAAGCUUACUACAGCCUCAAACUUCUGGGCUCAAGUGAUCCUCAGCCUCCCAGUGGUCUUUGUAGACUGCCUGAUGGAGUCUCAUGGCACAAGAAGAUUAAAACAGUGUCUCCAAUUUUAAUAAAUUUUUGCAAUCCA
This 534-nucleotide long non-coding RNA is filed under the name Homo sapiens (human). RNAcentral describes it as "growth arrest specific 5, transcript variant 19 (GAS5)". The record is from RNAcentral. Lineage: Eukaryota; Metazoa; Chordata; Mammalia; Primates; Hominidae.